CCCAAAAGAGGAUAGCCGUCCGUAAGUCGAGCGGAGCGAAGCGUGCUUGCACCUUAGCUUAGCGGCGGACGGGUGAGUAAUGCUUAGGAAUCUGCCUAUUAGUGGGGGACAACGUUUCGAAAGGAACGCUAAUACCGCAUACGUCCUACGGGAGAAAGCAGGGGAUCUUCGGACCUUGUGCUAAUAGAUGAGCCUAAGUCGGAUUAGCUAGUUGGUGGGGUAAAGGCCUACCAAGGCGACGAUCUGUAGCGGGUCUGAGAGGAUGAUCCGCCACACUGGGACUGAGACACGGCCCAGACUCCUACGGGAGGCAGCAGUGGGGAAUAUUGGACAAUGGGCGAAAGCCUGAUCCAGCCAUGCCGCGUGUGUGAAGAAGGCCUUUUGGUUGUAAAGCACUUUAAGCGAGGAGGAGGAGCUUCAGGUUAAUACCCUGGAUGCUUGGACGUUACUCGCAGAAUAAGCACCGGCUAACUCUGUGCCAGCAGCCGCGGUAAUACAGAGGGUGCAAGCGUUAAUCGGAUUUACUGGGCGUAAAGCGUGCGUAGGCGGCUAAUUAAGUCAAAUGUGAAAUCCCCGAGCUUAACUUGGGAAUUGCAU
RNAcentral lists this ribosomal RNA (597 nucleotides) under Acinetobacter sp. ASBCFS22. RNAcentral's name for it is "bacterial SSU rRNA". It matches the Rfam family "Bacterial small subunit ribosomal RNA", at positions 47 to 626 of the family's 1533-position model. The record is from RNAcentral. Lineage: Bacteria; Pseudomonadati; Pseudomonadota; Gammaproteobacteria; Moraxellales; Moraxellaceae.